This 6416-nucleotide long non-coding RNA is filed under the name Triticum aestivum (bread wheat). RNAcentral describes it as "long non-coding RNA (TAES_LNC014580)". The record is from RNAcentral. Lineage: Eukaryota; Viridiplantae; Streptophyta; Magnoliopsida; Poales; Poaceae.
UGUGUCUUUUCACCAGAAGCACAACUGAGCUUUAAAAUACAUUAAAAACACAAUUUGCUUUCGGGUUAAAAUUUUCGGGUUUUGGUAUAUUUUUUAUUUUUAUUUUUUGGUUGUUUUUAAAAAAAUCAACGAAACCUAUUAACAUGAGAUCUAGUUUCAAAGAUGUCGACGCGUGGAAUUAAAUGGUGAAAAUAGUUUGUGAUCUGGAUGUACGGUUCAAAAGAUAAAACCUUUCAAAAAAGUGAAUAUAAGAAAUAAAAAAAAAGUUAAACUCUAGUUUAGUGAUUUCGACAAAUUAGACCGCAAAAACAAAAAAAAACUAAACAUGGCCAAGCCAUAGCGCAACAGCUAUAAGCCGGCACCUGCGGCUGCUGCCCGAAUGCAUCUACCUGAUGUCGUAUUUGACGGAAAACUAGGAGGGUGGCCGCAUAGGGAGGCGCCGAGGCGUCCUGGUGGGCCAGUCCAUCACACGAUCAAGAUAGCGAGACGACGUACGUUCACCCGAACGAACUGGGACCAAGCAUUAUAGCGAAGCGGAAGCAGGUUCUGUACCAGACGAGAGCUCCUAUGUGCCGCAUUUAGCGGCGAAUAGCGAACGCGACGUGCGACUAGGCCGCCCAAUGAGAGUCACCACGAGUUGUGUUUAUACCGUAAAACUCGAAAGUCGAAAGUGGCACCGCGAGGAAUCAAGCCCGCGACGUCGCUCUCAUCCACGACCCCUGUUGGCCAAUAGAGCAAAUGCCCACUUGUUAACAAAAUGGCAUUGCGAAUGUAUUUAAGACCUUAAUGUUGCGGAUAUUCCCUGUAGCAUGUUAUUUUCCGCACGUGUAUAUAUUUUCGAAACUUUGAACACAUUUCGGAAUGCACAAAAGAAAUUUUCAAGAAAUGUGAACAACAUUUUAAAUUCAAAAUAGCUUUUAAAAAUUCGAACAAUUUUUUGAAUUUCAAACAGAUAUAGAAUUCUUUGAAUUUUUUCGAAAAACACGAACAAAAUUUGUGAAGCCGACUUUUUUAUUUUCGUACAAUUUUUAAAAUAUUCGAAAAAAUCAAAUAUUGAUUUUUUUAUAAAAUUUGAAUAAAUUUUUAAAUCCAAAUAUUUUUCAAAAGAAUGUACAAAAAUUGAAGUUCCAAACAUAUUAAUGUGUUUUUCGAACAAAAUCUGAGGAUUUGAUUUUUUUUGUGAUAAAUGAACAACUUUUUCCAAUGCGAAUCAAAUUUUUGAACAAAUUUUUAAAAACUCAAACAUUUUGUGAAAAUGUGAACAAUUAUUGGGAAUGUCAAAGAUUUACGUGAAUAAAAUAGGAAAAAGUUAAAAAAAAUAAGAACAUUUAUCUAAAACACAAAAAAAAUGGAAAACGAGAAUUUUUUCCAAUGGAGAUUUUUUCCAAAUUUUCGAAAAAUAAUAUAUUGUGCGAACAUUUUCGGAAAUAUGAAAUUAUAAACUUACUUCAAUUAUCGGAAAAGAAGCAAAAAUUUAUGAAAUUCAAUUGUUUUUAGAAUAUCUUAAAUAUUAUUAAAACUGGAACAUUUUCCGAAAAAGGUAGCAAAUUCUGAAGAAUGUGAACCCUUAUUAAAAUUCGCGAACAUUUUUUGAAUUUAUGAACCAAAUUAAAAAGAAGCGAACACAAAUAGAAAUUCUUUUUUUGGUAAUUUCGGAACAUAGUAUGAAAACAGGAGCGUUUUUAGAAAAAGGUACCAAAAUUUCAAAAAUGCAAACAUUUUGUAAGUUUCAGAACAUCUGUUGUAAAAGUAAUAUAAACUUGACAAAUAAAAUGAGAAAUUGUGGAAAAUAAAACAGGAAAGAGGAAGGAAGAUAUAAUAAAAAAGGAAAGAAGUAGAAUAAACAAGGAAAAAAUAAAAACGAAAAUUUAAGAGAAAUAUAAAAAAAGAAACAUAACCGGUCCAGGAACCUUCCUGGAGGUUCCCAAAAACCAGACAAAAACUAUAUAGGAACAUCGAGAAGGUUCCAAAACCAGAAAAAACUGUCUCGCUCGCCUCUGCGAAGCUCGGCCAAUUUGAUGUAGAAUGCCUCAAAUAGGAAUGCCUCAAAUGGGUUACUAUAGCAACAGGAUUCUUUUUAAAAAGUGAUCAAAUUUUUCAAAGGGCAAAUGUUUUUAAAAUUUCCUGGUUGUUUUUGGAACGGAACAAGUUUUCACAUUUGUGUUUUUUUUUUAAAUUUUGGACAUUUUUUGCAUUAGAAUACAAAAUUCAAUUUGUGAUAUAUUUCGAAAAUGCGCUCAUUUUAUCCCAUUUGCAGGAUUUUUUUAAAGAGUUCAAAGUUUUUUGAAAUAUGAAUUCUUUUUUAAAAUUGCCUACAUUUUUUAAAACAUGAAGAUCUUUCAAAUUUGCCACCCUAUGAAGGCACUGUUUGCCAGCUGCCUAUUUCGUCGCCACUUUUGGGAAACUUCUAACAUAGUGGGGAGUGGAGUGGUUUUAUGAAACUUUGGUCCGGUUUGGGGAAGGUUCCAUCUGAUUCACCUUGUUUUGUUCCCCUUUUUGUGUCUAAUCUUUACAACUUUUAUCGAUUUUCUGUCGGUUUUUUAUUAUACAUAUUGUCAUUUUUUGAGUUUUCUCUUUUUUCUUCAAAUUUGUUUAUUCCUUUUUAUUUUCACUUUUCAGUACAAUUGAGGCUUUCCCCUUUUCAAAUUUGUUUAUUUCCCCUUUUCAGUACUAAGCGCCGGCCGAAAGUUUCGGCCGCUUGGCCCCCAGCCGCCCGAUUGGAUCCCCGCAUCGUCUUCUCCCCCCCCUCGUCUACCAAGCUUCGUCCCUGUCGCACAUCUUCCUCCUUCCUUUCUCCCUCUCGCGGCGCUCGAGAACGCCUUGCGUGCCCCCGCGGUCACCGCACCCCCCCACUACGGGUGAGCUUGAAGCACGCCGUCGGCGAUAUCGAAUCAUGUUGCCGGCGAGAUCCAAUCAUGCCGAUGUCACUUCCACCCCCCUCCCUGCUCCGCCUGACUCGUCACAUUGCUGGUCUCCUCAGGUCGUCGCUAUAAAAAAAAACUCCCCGCAGCAACCAUGCCUCCAUGGCGCCUCGCCGUCGCCGGUGCAGCCGCCUUGUUGCAUCGUCGAUGGAGGUUUCUGUCGUUCCAGCAAAAACCGAUGCGGGUCGUAGCAUUUUGCAACACUAGAUGUAGCUCAUACCACGCCUAUGCUCGCCCCUGCUCACCGAUGGUUCCAACAAAACACAGAUACCGUUGUAAUAAAAAAUACCGCUAGAUGCAGAUCCGCCGCAUGUCAUCACUUGCUAUAGCGUUAGUCGCCAUAUCUGUUGCAACAAAACGCUCCACUAGUUGAAGCUUUUUUGGUCGCGGGUUCCAGCUUUUUUCGGCGCAUGGUCACCACGGUCACCGCCCGUCGUAGCAUAAUUUUCUGCAGGUUGUAGCACUUUCGAUCACCGGUCAUAGCAUCUUUUGGUGCCGGUUGUAGCACCGCCAAAUCGCUGGGUACUAGGCGCCGGCAUGCCGGUUGUAGCAAAAUGCGAUGUCAGUUGAAGCAUGUAGCAAAAACUGCAACGUUGGUUUUUGGCUAGGAAUAGCACCGCUCCGUCCUCGUCGUCCAGCGGUCACCACGCUCGCCAUUCAUGGUCGCAGCCUCCCCGGACCGCCACCGCCGUCCCCACACCCUCCAUCGCCGGUCGAGGGUCGCAUCUUCUUCAAUGCCAACGGUGUCGCACCCCCGCGUCGCAAGGCGAGGUCAUUGCAGCUCCAGAGGCCGGCGGUUGCAGCAUCCACCGCCGCCGGGUCCAGCUUCCCCGUCGCCACCGGUCUCCUUCACUCCGUCACGCACCGAGGCGUCAGUGGGCCUUGUCGUUGCCACCGCUUGACUUGGAGAGAGAGAGAGAAAGAGAGAGAGAGAGAGAGAGAGAGAGAGAGAGAGAGAGAGAGAGAGAGAGACCAGGUGAUGGGGAACCAAGUGGGUCUGGGCGAAGAGAAAAAUAUGCAGGUCUCACGAGCCAGAGCAUCGCACAACGAAGUGACCGGCCGAAGAUUCGGCCGGCGUGUAAGCGCGAAGGGUUUUCCUUUUCCUUUCUUCCUUUUAUGUUUGGUUUUCUGUUCAUUUAUUGAUUUUUUUGCUUUAUUCCUUAUAUUUUCCCUUUUUUUCCCUUUUUCUUUUGCGAUUUUACCCAUUUCUAUGAAAAUGGUACUUCUCUUUGUAAAUACAUGCACAUUUAAAAAAAUAGAUGAACAAUUUUUAAUAUUACACAAAUUUUUGUUCGAAAGAGGUGAAAACUUUUUAAAAAUACACAAUUGUUUUUAAAAUAGAUGAUUACUUUGUUAUUAAUGACACGCUUACUUUUUAAGUUACAAGAUUCGUUUUUCAAAAUAUGUGAACAACCAAAAAAUGUAUGCAUUUUUUAGAGUGACCAAAUACUUUUUUUAAAAUUGCAUGAACAUCUUUUCAAAAUACUUGAUCGUUUUUAAAAAUUGCAAAAAUACUUUAGAGUAUACAAAUAUUUUCUAAAAUGCAUUAACCUUUUCCAAAACUACAAGAACAAUUUAAAAAUAUGAACACUUCGAAAUAUGCACAAACAAUUUUUAAAUUGUACAGAUAUUUUUUCAAAGAGUGAGCACAUUCUAGAUUUACAAAAUCUCUUUUUUUAAUUAGACGAAAACCUUUUGAAACUAAAAAAAUCUAUAUGUUUUCCUUAGUUAGCUGCUAAGUAUUUCAUGAGGUGCAAUUGUAUGAAACAUUUAUGUUUGGAUCAAUAAUACGUGAACUAAAACUACAAAAUACAAUGAUUUAUCAUUUCUUAUUCUUCAAUAAUUGCAUAUUUUUUAGCAAAUAUAUAGUUGUAAGGUAGUUAUUAACAUAAAAUGGCAUAAUAGAUUCUGAUGCAAGGUUGCAUAUUGAGGUAGGCAAUUUCCCUUGCAUGGUUACACCGUGAGGUGUGCAGAAGUGUUCCUCUAAUCCUGAGCCCAAAUGCUCCUGCCUUGAACAGUAAAAUCAAAAAAAUAGAAGGAAAAUAAACUCAAAAUAUUCUGAUUUUUUUUACAACAAACAUGGCUUAGUUUUCUGCAUGCGGACAAAGUAUUUUGAUGAAAUCACAAUCGUGGAGGUCUGAUAAAAAAACAAAAUCACCACUUCAAAUUCUUUCAAAAAAUGUUUUUUGGAGCAUCCAAUUUGUUCUUUUUGCCAAAGCAUUCGGAUUGUAUUUUCUACACUAAAUCUACGUAUGUAGAAAAUUCAAAAAGUUUUUGAAUUUUUUGCAGAUUUUUUAUAAUUUUUUACUACUCCCUCCGUUCCAUAAUAUAGUGCAUAUAGAUUUUCUAGAAAGUCAAACUUUAGAAACUUUGACUAAAUUUAUAAAGAAAACUAUUUAUAUUUGCAAUACCAAAUUUAUACAAUAUUAAAGUACGUCUUGUGAUGUAUCUAGUGAUCUGUGUUUGGUAUCCUAGAUGUAUAUGUUUUUCUAUACAAACUUGGUCACAUUUUAUAAAGUUUGACUCUUCAAAAAAUUUAUACGUACUGCAUUGUGGAACGGAAUGAGAUUUUUCUUUCACAAGGGUGCAUUUGAGCUCGAGUGCAUAAACUCCAUGUUUGUGAGGUGUGUCCUUUCUCAAACGUGGUUGCAUGUUGAGGCGACAUAUUUGCAUCUUCAGAUAAAUAUGUUAUUGGGAUCACCUAUGUAGUUAUAUAGGAUAUGUUCAUGGUUCAACCAAGAAAAUUUAACGAAAAACAAAUCUAUAAUUUCUGCCAUAGUUUCUAUGGUGGCCACAGCCGAAACCUUUUAUUUACAAGUACAAAAUCAUUCUAUUUUUUAAUCAUAAUUUAGGUGAAUACGUUUGUCUAAACAAAAGAUUUGGGGUUUAAACUCCAGAUUUUCUAUUUCACUUGUUUCUUUUUUGACGAUUACCUUUUGUUUCAUUUUGGGUUUUCCUUUCCUGUUUUCUUUUCUGAUUUAUAUUUAUAUUUUUGUUUUCUUUUAUUCUACUAUUUUAUUCUAUUUUUACAUUGCCUAUUUUUAAAUAAAUUAUGUGUUGUAAUUGAUUUCCCCUAAUUUAUGUUCACAUUACUUGUUUUCAGUAGUGAUUUUAAUUAUGUUUAUCUUCACAACAAGAAAGCUAAUUUUGACUUACAAAAACAUUAAUUUUGAUAGAAGUGAGCAUUCUUCUAUCAAAGGUGCAACGGAAUUCUAAAAUGUGUUCACAUUUUGUGGUAUAAAUAACCAUGUUUCCUCGGAGUUGUGUUCCCCUAAACCGUAAUCCCUGACCAUUCCAAAUAAUUACCUAAAUAAUUAGGAGUAUAUGGUAUUUGAGCCUUCGAAAUUUCAUAUUUCCACUUCCGGUAAAAUUGCCAUUUUCCACUUUUUUUUUACAAAAAGCAGCAGCUCCGCCUUGACAUAUAGCAGUUCCGUAAUGAUGACAAUACCGUAGCUUCGCAAAGAAGCAAGAAGUAGAAUUCUACAGAAAUACUCC